Papio anubis (olive baboon) is the source of this 71-nucleotide non-coding RNA. The record is from Rfam. NCBI's taxonomy places the organism in Eukaryota, Metazoa, Chordata, Mammalia, Primates, Cercopithecidae.
GUUACAGGGUUAUAGGGGCUAUAAGGCUGGCUUGAAACCAGUUUUAGGGGGUUCGACUCCCUCCUUUUUCG